AACGAACGCUGGCGGCAGGCCUAACACAUGCAAGUCGAGCGGACCCUUCGGGGUUAGCGGCGGACGGGUGAGUAACGCGUGGUAAUAUGCCCUUCUCUACGGAAUAGUCCUGGGAAACUGGGGGUAAUACCGUAUACGCCCUUUGGGGGAAAGAUUUAUCGGGGAAGGAUUAGCCCGCGUUGGAUUAGGUAGUUGGUGGGGUAAUGGCCUACCAAGCCGACGAUCCAUAGCUGGUUUGAGAGGAUGAUCAGCCACACUGGGACUGAGACACGGCCCAGACUCCUACGGGAGGCAGCAGUGGGGAAUCUUAGACAAUGGGGGCAACCCUGAUCUAGCCAUGCCGCGUGAGUGAUGAAGGCCUUAGGGUUGUAAAGCUCUUUCAGCUGGGAAGAUAAUGACGGUACCAGCAGAAGAAGCCCCGGCUAACUCCGUG
This 433-nucleotide ribosomal RNA is filed under the name uncultured bacterium. RNAcentral's name for it is "partial 16S ribosomal RNA". It matches the Rfam family "Bacterial small subunit ribosomal RNA", at positions 29 to 507 of the family's 1533-position model. The record is from RNAcentral.